UGUUUUCUCUUUACUUUUUUAUGAAAUCUUCUCAUCUUUACUUGCAGAGCAAAAUAUUCACACUAUUAGUUCCAGCUUCAGUUCAUCACUCUAACUCCUGUCUGCUACUUUCUGUCAGUGGAUGAAGGGUGCUUGGGUCAAUCAAGAGCAAAAUCUAUAUGUUCGUUCCUACAAGAGCUCAAUGAUGCUGUGAAAGCCAAGUAUGUUGAGGAGUCUCCAGCAACAAUGAUAGAUACAAACCCUUCAUUCUUUUCCCAGUUCACUGUUAUCAUUGCUACCCACGUGUGUUUUCGUAUACUCUCAACAUAAGCUGCAAAAUCAGCGAUUAAUAUGCUGGUGCUUUCUCUGUAGAUUUUUUUGUUGAAUGAAUACUUGUGAUUUCUGUGAAGCCAAAAGAUCAAGUGAUUAAAAUA
Long non-coding RNA from Hordeum vulgare subsp. vulgare (domesticated barley), 413 nucleotides. RefSeq lists it as uncharacterized. The transcript is spliced from 2 exons. Lineage: Eukaryota; Viridiplantae; Streptophyta; Magnoliopsida; Poales; Poaceae. The record is from RefSeq and is a predicted model, not a curated record.